Molecule: ribosomal RNA, 440 nt
Filed under: uncultured bacterium
Lineage: Bacteria
Description: bacterial SSU rRNA
Rfam family: Bacterial small subunit ribosomal RNA
Source: RNAcentral
UAGGGAAUCUUCCGCAAUGGACGAAAGUCUGACGGAGCAACGCCGCGUGAGCGAUGAAGGUCUUCGGAUCGUAAAGCUCUGUUGUUAGGGAAGAACAAGUACCGGAGUAACUGUCGGUACCUUGACGGUACCUAACCAGAAAGCCACGGCUAACUACGUGCCAGCAGCCGCGGUAAUACGUAGGUGGCAAGCGUUGUCCGGAAUUAUUGGGCGUAAAGCGCGCGCAGGCGGUCCUUUAAGUCUGAUGUGAAAUCUUGCGGCUCAACCGCAAGCGGUCAUUGGAAACUGGGGGACUUGAGUGCAGGAGAGGAAAGCGGAAUUCCAUGUGUAGCGGUGAAAUGCGUAGAGAUAUGGAGGAACACCAGUGGCGAAGGCGGCUUUCUGGCCUGUAACUGACGCUGAGGCGCGAAAGCGUGGGGAGCAAACAGGAUUAGAUACCC